Molecule: non-coding RNA, 86 nt
Filed under: pig gut metagenome
Description: Purine riboswitch
Rfam family: Purine riboswitch aptamer
About the family: Riboswitches are metabolite binding domains within certain messenger RNAs that serve as precision sensors for their corresponding targets. Allosteric rearrangement of mRNA structure is mediated by ligand binding, and this results in modulation of gene expression. A class of riboswitches that selectively recognises guanine and becomes saturated at concentrations as low as 5 nM.
Source: RNAcentral
AAAUUUCAUAUCUGUCGAUAUAAAUCAAAUGAUACGGUUUUGAAGUCUCUACCCGGUCGCCGUAAAUGACCGGACUAUCGACGAAA